AACGAACGCUGGCGGCAUGCCUAACACAUGCAAGUCGAACGAGACCUUCGGGUCUAGUGGCGCACGGGUUCGUAACGCGUGGGAACCUUCCCUUAUGUUCGGAAUAACUCCCCGACAGGGGUGCUAAUACCGGAUAAUGUCUUCGGACCAAAGAUUUAUCGCCUUUGGAUGGGCCCGCGUUGGAUUAGCUAUUUGUUAGGGUAAAAGCCUACCAAGGCGCCGAUCCAUAGCUGGUCUGAGAGGAUGAUCAGCCACACUGGGACUGAGACACGGCCCAGACUCCUACGGGAGGCAGCAGUGGGGAAUAUUGGAACAUGGGCGAAAGCAUGAUCCAGCACUGACGGGUGAGUGAUGAAGGCAUUAGGGUUGUAAAGCUCUUUUAACCGGGAUGAUAAUGACAGUACCGGGAGAAUAAGCUCCGGCUAACUCCGUG
This 433-nucleotide ribosomal RNA is filed under the name uncultured bacterium. Its description in RNAcentral is "partial 16S ribosomal RNA". It matches the Rfam family "Bacterial small subunit ribosomal RNA", at positions 29 to 507 of the family's 1533-position model. The record is from RNAcentral.